Molecule: ribosomal RNA, 254 nt
Filed under: uncultured archaeon
Lineage: Archaea
Description: partial 16S ribosomal RNA
Rfam family: Archaeal small subunit ribosomal RNA
Source: RNAcentral
CAGCCGUAAACUAUGCGCGUUAGGUGUACUGGUGACCACGAGUCACCGGGGUGCCGAAGGGAAACCGUGAAACGUGCCGCCUGGGAAGUACGGUCGCAAGGCUGAAACUUAAAGGAAUUGGUCGGGGGGAGGCACCACAACGGGUGGAGCCUGCGGUUUAAUUGGACUCAACGCCGGAAAUCUCACCGGAUAGGACAGACAUAUGAUAGUCGGGCUGAAGACUCUACUUGAUGAUCUGAGAGGUGGUGCAUGGC